Non-coding RNA from Monodelphis domestica (gray short-tailed opossum), 2705 nucleotides. The record is from RefSeq and is a predicted model, not a curated record. Lineage: Eukaryota; Metazoa; Chordata; Mammalia; Didelphimorphia; Didelphidae.
UUCAGAAUAUGGUCCCCUUACUGACUGUAUGACCUGGGACAAGUCACUUAUUUUUAAAUAUCUAAUUUCUCCAAUUCCUGAAUGAUAAAGGGAUUGCAUGCGAUGGUCCCUUAAGAUCCUAUGAUAAGUGGGUAGCACUGUGUACUUUCUAAGACUUUCUAUGUAGCAUGAGGAUAUAUGGUGUGACCCUCACACUCCUUCCUAUUUCUGUUAGAUCCUGGUAAGGCAGAAGCCUGGAGGAAUAAAAAGAGGGCUGGCAGGUGGUGUUAUUUGCAGGUGUAUUUCAGCCAAAUGGAUGGAAGGAGACAAAUCAUGCCUUUCCUGUCUUUUGCACAGGAUGGGGACAGCUGUAUCUUCUCAUGCUUUCCUGCUGCCAGGGAUCAGAUUCCACUGGCAGGAGGGGGAUCCAGCAGAGACCUCAAAAUCUCUUAUUGGCCAGAGGCUAUGUCUGACAUGAGACCAAAUAUCCCAGGUCACAGUACUGAUGUCCUCAGCAUGAAAUCCAGCAGGCAGAUGGAUAAAGCACUCCCCAGAUGCAUAGGGGUGUUGUGUCCUGACAGGCAGCUUUCAGUGCCUUCCACAGAUGUUUAUAAGAGCUGAGCUUUGGCUACAUCUGUUCUGCAGGGCAAGGGGAGAAGGGGUGGGGUGAGAAGGAAGAGGGGCAAGAUUGGAGAGCCAAGAGACAGAAAGAACAGGGCAAGAUGGGGGGAGUAGAGGGAAGGAUGGAAAGGAAGAAAAGAUGGAAGAAUAGUGAGAGAGGGGGAAAUGGGGAAUAUGGAAGAAUACAGGGAGAGAGAAGGGAAGAGAAAGGAAGAGAGGAUGAUGAUUAUAAUUUUCAAUUAUAUGGUGAUUUAAGGUUUGUAUUUUGUAUGCAUUUAUUCAUUUCAGCCUCAGAAUAACCCUGUGAAAUAAGUACCAUGGGUAUUAUAAACCCCAUUUUAAAGAUGAGGAAAUAGAAGCUUAGAAAUCUCAAGUAACUGGAAGUUUUUACUCAUCAUUUGUUUCAGUCAUAUCUGACUUUACCAUCCCAUUUGGGCUUUUUUUUUGGUAAAGAUACUAGAAUGGCUUGCCAUUUCCUUCUACAGCUCAUUCUACAGAUGAGGAAACUGAGGCAACAAGGGUUAAGUGAUUUGCCCAGGAUCACACAACUAGUAAGUAUCUGAGGUUAGAUUUGAAUUUAGGAAGAGGAAUCUUCGUGCCUCAAGGCCCAGUACUCUAUCUACUGUACUACCUGGCUGCUCCAACUAAGGUGAAUGGCUUAAAUCAAGAUGCAGAGAGGGAAGUGGGAUUGAGGAGGAGGACUACAAGAGGAAAGAGAUCAAGAAGUUGGGUUUGAGGGAAGACACUGAUGGUUGGACCUGAAUUAUCCUUUUCCCCUUCUAGUUGCUGUUGCUUUUCCUAUGGUGGAAUUCAUCCUGACUUUGUUAAUAGAACUGUUCUUUGCUAUAUGGAAUAGCCAUUUUUAAGCUAAAUUGGCCAUUGUAAGGAUGAUAUUAGAAAAUAAGUAUUGUUUUAUUAGUUUAGGGAUAAAAAGUAGAGUGGCUGGCUUGAGAAAGAACUGGAGUUUGAAGGAGAGCUGAGAGAAUGUGUUAAUUUCAGAUGUUGACAGUUAUAACUGUUUUUCUGUGUCAAUUACUCUAUCUGGCAGUUGGGAGUUGAUCUCUGGCAGUUGGCAGAGACACACACUCUGAGGCUCUCUAUCAGGGCUGGAGGAAAUAACGUCUUUGCCCCUCUCUCUAUCUGAGGGAAAGAACUGAAGGAGCUCAGUGUUUUCCUUUCCCAACUUGGGAAACACUAUUGAAUAUCUAUUGUGGUUUUUACAGAUUGUUUAACUCUGAGAAGACCAAAGAAAAACCUGGUCUUUAGUUUGGACUACGAGUCUGAGUCUUGAAUUCUUGCAAAGGGGACCCAUCCCAAACCCCAGGGGUUCACCUCAAGUCCUCCACAACACUUCCAGCUCUAAAUCUAUGAUCUUAAUGACUGCCUGCUGCUAUUAUUGGUGCUGCCAAUUUUGCCAGUUCAGGAGGAACUAGUGCCUUGAUGUUUCAGAUCUCUCUCAAGGAUACAAUUGUGGAUGGACUGCUAUUCCCUGUGAAGAAGAUAGCAAUACCAAAAAUGACCAUUUAAAAAUUCUCCAAUGUAGAAAGCAACAUUAUAAUGAUAAUCAACUGUGGAAGACUCAGCAACACUAACCAAUACAACAAUCCAUGAGAGGUCUAAAGAACUCAUAAUGAAAUAAACUCUCCACCACGUGGCAGAAAACUUCCAGACACUUAAAUCAGACAACUACACCCUUCUGCUGUUUCAUGUGGACACAAAUGAUACUACCAGAACAAAUCUAGGAGUGUUGUCAAAGAUUACGUAGUCUUAGGCAAGAAUACCUUAGGGGCAUUGGCAGUGUUUUCAUCUGCCAGUCAUGGACAAAGCCUAGAAAAUAAAAGCCAAUGUGAGAGAGUUGAACAACUGCUUAAGAUGAUAUCUAAUACCUCCUUCCACUCCUUGGCAAAGGUGGGAGGUUCAUGGGUGUGGAAUGUCAUAUUUUCAGACUUUUUCAGUAUAUUGAUUCAUUUUGCUUGUUUUUUUUUCCCUUCUUAUACUUAAAAAAAAAGUUCUUUAUUAUAUGGGAUGUCUCUGGGAGGGAGAGGUUUCUGGAAGAAACUUAGAUGUAAAAAACAAGUUACUAUUAAAUAUUAAUUUUUAAGAUA